UAAUUGGCAAAACCGGUGAAAGUCGGCGACGCAAAGCUACAGGGUCUACCUCCAAUCAAUGGACAAGACAGCCUAGCUAC
RNAcentral lists this non-coding RNA (80 nucleotides) under human gut metagenome. RNAcentral's name for it is "Cyclic di-GMP-I riboswitch". It matches the Rfam family "c-di-GMP-I riboswitch aptamer", at positions 6 to 83 of the family's 87-position model. Rfam says of the family: GEMM was predicted in a large-scale screen for bacterial structured RNA regulatory elements. Genes associated with GEMM are involved in a diverse array of functions, including chemotaxis regulation, signal transduction, secretion and chitin. The record is from RNAcentral.